This 693-nucleotide unclassified non-coding RNA is filed under the name Hevea brasiliensis (rubber tree). The record is from RNAcentral. Lineage: Eukaryota; Viridiplantae; Streptophyta; Magnoliopsida; Malpighiales; Euphorbiaceae.
CUGGAAGUCUCCUCUUUUUAGUGCCCCCAAGCCUGUUGCUUUCAUUAUUCUGCUGUACAAGCUGAUUUAAGAAGCCUGGGCUUUGCAUGGCCUUUGCAAGGAAUGACAUCAUUUGUUGCUGUCGCUGCUCCAUUGCCUGAACACGUUGCCCUACAGUUUGCAACUGGUUAUCUGUAGCUUGCUGCUGCUGCCUCAAUCUAACAAGUUCCUGCAUAAGCACAUUCUUGUCCCGUUUCAGUCUUUCAACCUCUUCCUCUAGUCCAAACAUCCCAACUUCAACACAUGCUGCAACCUUAGAGCUCUGAACCUGAGGCGGUUGAUUACUCUGUCCAUGAAGUGACUUUUUCCUAGAUAUACUCUUCAAGAGAUGCUUUUGUCCUCUUAAGAACCCCUCAUUUGCAAAUUCAUAGCGAUCUGGGUCAACUUUCCUGAAACCAUAAGUAUUCAACUGUCUGACAAAGCUAGAGAAAUUGCUGUGCUUGAAAUACUUCGGCAAAAGGUCCCUCUGAAACUCCGGUACAUUCCACACCACAAAACUAUUAUCACUGCUACUCCACGACACCACCGAAUUGGUGGAGGGGUCGUCCACCAUAUCGUAAGUCUUGCUCAGAAAUGGCGGCACCGAAUUCGCGGUCAGAGAUUCCAUGGUGAAAUUUGAUCAAACUAUGACAGGGAUCGAAAUUUUGUGGCCUG